RNAcentral lists this ribosomal RNA (497 nucleotides) under uncultured bacterium. Its description in RNAcentral is "partial 16S ribosomal RNA". It matches the Rfam family "Bacterial small subunit ribosomal RNA", at positions 28 to 507 of the family's 1533-position model. The record is from RNAcentral.
GAUGAACGCUGGCGGCGUGCCUAAUACAUGCAAGUCGAGCGAACAGAUCAGGAGCUUGCUCCUUUGACGUUAGCGGCGGACGGGUGAGUUACACGUGGUUAACCUACCUCUAAGACUGGGAUACUUUCGGGAAACCGGAGCUAAUACCGGAUAACAUAUUGAACCGCAUGGUUCAAUAGUGAAAUGCGCUUUUGCUGUCACUAAUAGAUGGAUCCGCGCCGUAUUAGCUAGUUGGUAAGGUAACGGCUUACCAAGGCAACGAUACGUAGCCGACCUGAGAGGGAGAUCGGCCACACGGGAACUGAGACACGGUCCAGACUCCUACGGGAGGCAGCAGUAGGGACUCUUCCGCAAUGGGCGAAAGCCUGACGGAGCAACGCCGCGGGAGUGAUGAAGGUCUUCGGAUCGUAAAACUCUGUUAUCAGGGAAGAACAAAUGUGUAAGUAACUGUGCACAUCUUGACGGUACCUGAUCAGAAAGCCACGGCUAACUACGUG